RNAcentral lists this ribosomal RNA (496 nucleotides) under uncultured bacterium. Its description in RNAcentral is "bacterial SSU rRNA". It matches the Rfam family "Bacterial small subunit ribosomal RNA", at positions 28 to 507 of the family's 1533-position model. The record is from RNAcentral.
GAGAGACGCUGGCGGCGCGCCUAACACAUGCAAGUCGAGCGGAGAUAUACGAAGAGUAAUCCGAGUAUAUCUUAGCGGCGGACGGGUGAGUAACGCGUAGGCAACCUGCCCCGUGCAGAGGGACAGCCUCGGGAAACCGGGAUUAAGACCUCAUGAUAUCGGGUUAUCACAUGGUAAUCCGGUCAAAGAUUUAUCGGCAUGGGAUGGGCCUGCGUCUGAUUAGCUGGUUGGUGGGGUAACGGCCUACCAAGGCGACGAUCAGUAGCAGAACUGAGAGGUUCAUCUGCCACAUUGGAACUGAGACACGGUCCAAACUCCUACGGGGAGGCAGCAGGUGGGGUAAUUUUGGACAAUGGGGCGCAAGCCUGAUCCAGCAAUGCCGCGUGCAGGAUGAAGGCCGUUCGGGUUAGUAAACUUUCUUUUAUCGUGGGACGAAAAAAGGGGAAUUCUUUCCCACUUGACGGUACCAGAGGAAUAAGCACCGGCUAACUCCGUG